Molecule: long non-coding RNA, 11554 nt
Organism: Loxodonta africana (African savanna elephant)
Lineage: Eukaryota; Metazoa; Chordata; Mammalia; Proboscidea; Elephantidae
Exons: 2
Source: RefSeq, a predicted model, not a curated record
AGUCAGCACCAUUUAUCAUGAAUUUUCUAUUUUGUUCCACUGGUGUAUUUCUCAGUUUCUAGUAUAAACCCUGGUGGCGCAGUGGUUAAGAGCUAUGGCUGCUAACCAAAAGGUUGGCAGUUCAAGUCCACCAGGCGCUCCUUGGAAACUAUGGGGCAGUUCUACCCUGUCCUAUAGGGUCACUAUGAGUCAGAAUCGACUCGACAGCAUGGGUUUGGUUUUUUGGUUUAGUAUAAUGUAUUAAUUUGUUCUAUUAUUCAAUGAAAGAAGGCUGCACUUACUAUCCUUUUUCAUAUUUCAAUUGUCUGUUCUUUGGUAUAAGGAGCCCUGGUGGUGCAAUGGUUAAGCACUUGGCUGCUAACCGAGAGGUUGGCGGGUCGAACGCACCCAGCAGCUCUACAGGAGAAAGACCUGGGAAUCUGCUUCUGGAAAAAUUACAGCCCCCUUCCUUCCCCCUCAGAAAAAGAAAAAACCCUAAGUGGCAGUUCUACUCUGUGUUCAGUUCAACAGACAACUAUUUUGAUAUUCUAAUGGGAAUCACAUUAUAUAUAUAUCUUAGUUUUGAAACACUUGACUUGUUUUACAAGUCUUCAUGUUUGGGAGAACAGGCAUAUUUUUUGCAUUCAAUCGGGUUUUGUUUUAUUUACUUCAGUAGAUUAUUUUCUUCAUAUAGGUUCCUUACCGUUUCUAUCAAAACAUUUCCCUAAGUAUCUUAUUGUUUUUGACACUAUUUGGUACAAUCAAAUAGCAGAGAAAAAAGAAUGGUCUAUCCUUCCCAUUUUCAUUUUUUCGCGUGCUUAUUUCUGGACAGAAAUAUAGAACUGAUUUUGGUAUACUUGUCCUAUAUCCUGCCACUUUAUCAGCAAUUUUAUAUUCGUCCUCUAGGUUUGCAAUUAUAUCAGCAUUAAAAAAGUUUUAAAAUCUUUUAAUAGUUACCCUCGUUAUUUAAAAUUUCUGGCUUAUUCUUUCACCGUCAAAACUAUAUUCUGGGAUAGAAGUAAUUAUAGCUAUCUUUGUUUAGUUGCAAAUUUUAUCAAAAUGAAUGGACUGUUUUGUAGUCUAUCCCACAUCUGUUAAGUUUUGGGAUAAUUCGUUGUGCACCAGUAGAUAACAAACACGUUGACCUUGCCGACCAUGAUUGCAUUUAGCUUCGUGGGCAAGUUGGGGAGAGUUUCGUCUUCAUCUAUUCUUUGAUGGAUCCUGUCUAAGGCCAAAAUUAACUGUUCUUUGCAUGUUUCAUGAAAUCUGCUGAGAGCCAACCAGGCCUGUAAUUUUCUUUGCAGGAAGAUUUUUAACUCUAAUCCCUUUUCGACUCAACGGCAAGUAGCAACAACAACAAUCCAUUUUGCUUCAUGGAAUCUUCUGGCAAUAAUUUAUUAGAGAAGUUUCCAAUGUGUGCUCUAGGCUGCUGGAAAGCCAUCUUUAAAGAUUAUGUGGAUAUUCACUCUUUUCAGCCUUAUCCAAACCCAUUAAUCAAUCCCAGAUUUUCCCCAUUUCCACAAAGGUCCUUUCCUGCAUCCACUCCUGGUACCAGUUCCCUCCUCUCAGACUUUGUAUUUUCUGAAAAGAAAUGAACAGUGUGCCACCCAAGCAGUUUCGUGCCCACAGACUCCUGAGUCCAAAAUAGGGAGGAUACUGUCUUCAAAUAUUCUUUUAUUUUCUAUUUUUGUCUGUACUUAAUUUCUUUUUCAUACCGUAUCGUAAUUGUUUUAAAGUUGUGUUUUUAUGUCUGGGUCUGAAACCCAGCUGGGAUUCCCUUUGUGUGUGGUAUGUUGUGGUGUCCAGUUGCAUGUGGGCAUCAAAAGGACACAUUUUUCAGGAGGGUGGGGAUGGGGAGGGUGCUGACACAUUGCGGGGAUUGCAACCAAUGUCGGGGAAAAUUUUUGUAUGAAUUGCUGAAUGGCAAACUAAUUUACUAUGUAAAUUUUCACCUAAAGCACAAAAAUGUUAUACACACACACACACACACGCACGCACGCACAUUGUGAAACUAAAAGGCAGGGAGAGGCAGUUGGGGCGGUUGGGCCAACCACAGUGGGUGCUGCGCGCGGGGAGAGGAGCACUCCAGGGCGUCACGGAGUCCUGCGCCCAGCAGGGCUGGCAGAGGACCUGAGCCUGGGUCCGGUGCCUCUGGCAAAGGGCCAGCUCCCCUCAUACCUGCCUGCCAGCCAGGCUCCAGCCCCUGCCCUCAUCCCUCUGGGUCUCCCCCACCAGUCUCCUCAUUGCUACCACUAAAAUUUAGGGGGAGGCCAACGCCACCCAGAGGGUGGCGCAGAACCUGGACUUCAGGAGCUCCACGUGCACCGCCGGGCCCGCAGCACUUCCGCUGCGAAUCCGUCAGCUGUCGGGUAUCCCUAGGACGCUGGGCACGGGACCUCUCUCCUCAGACUGGGAUCCAGGGACCAGCAGCACUGGUAGCACCUGGAACCUUGAUGGAAAUGUAGACUCUUGGGCCUCAACCCAGACCUCCUGACUCAGACUCAUCAUUUUAACACGAUCCUUAGGUGAUCUGGGUGCACAAUGAAGUUUGGGAAGCACCAUGACUGACCUGGAUCUCAGAGAAAUCAAAUAUAAUGCAUGUGAGUUCUUGGGCCCAUUACAAAAUGGAUUGUCAUCCCUGAGGUCUGGUUUGGCCCCAUCUUUCUGUCAGUAAGUGAGAUCUCUUUGGUUCCUUCUCAGGAGAUAAGCCUUCCCAGCCUUCUAGUUGAGGUCUUAGAGAGAAGUACUUAGUACCAAAGGACAUGAAAAAUAAACUUGAAAGAAAAAUGUGUUCAUUUCCAGGAGAAAAACUCAGUGCAAAGUGUUGCAUUUAUACUUGGUAUAUUUUCAAACUCAGAGGAAUUCACAGUUUAAAUAAUUCUCUUAAAACAUUUUUUGUUAAUUGACUGCUGAAUUAAUGUCUACCACGGGGACAUGGAAACAACACUGAUUUGCUCAACCUUGAUAAUGUGAAUUUAUCAUAUUAUUUCAGGAAGAAAAUGCACGUUUCUUCAUGAACGUGUAAUUUAAAUAGGGAAUCUGCAGAGUUUUAUAACUGUUUAAUGGUUUAAGCAAGGAUAAUGAGAUAAACUUAACAGAUUCUUAGUGUGAAUUCCCUUGGAUUCACUUGUCGGAAAAGACAGGCAGAGGAGAGUUAAAACAUAUAGAAACAGUAUGCUUCAAAAGCAUUGAUGAUAUGUCUUUUCAUUUCUGUAGAGUUGUAUGUGACUGUUGAUAGUGUGUACUGCCCUGGUGGCACAGUGGCUAAAAGCUCGCUUGCUAACCAAAAGAUUGGUGGUUCAAAUCCACCAGCUGCUCCUUAGAAAUCCCAUGGGCAGCUCUACUCUGUUCUAUAGGGUUGCUAUGAGUCGGAAUCAACUUGCUGGCAGUGAGUUUGGGUUUUUUGUUUUUUUGGUAUGUUCCCAUUUAUAUAUGAGUUAAAAGUUAGAAGAACCAAAAAGAUAGUGUUACUGCCAUGGCUACUGACUUACGGGAACCAAGAUAAAUUGUCAAGUGAAGAAUGGUGCAGAGAAACAUGUGGGUAGAGUGUGACCUAAUCUCGAGAAAAGCAAACAAACCAUAAAGCUACAUGUGUACCUGUGACUAUGCAUAUGUGUUCCAGCAAGCAGGAAUGCGUGAAGAGGUACACAUGUGUCUUUGAACAUGGACACUUUGGAGAAGCAGGUAAAAUUUACACAUGUGGGGAUGACUCUUAUUAUAAUUCUUAUAAAAAUCUGACUUGUUAAAUGUGUUAUAAUAAGAAUACAAGAGUUUUCAAAGUAAAAAAAAUCAUAGAAAUAUAUAUAUGUAUAUAUUUAAAACAGUUUUAUUGGCUGUUAUUUUAUAUAGGCAAAACACUGUCAUCAAUACUGGAUUCAGAGACUUUCACCACUGGGUGAAGAGCAAACUCAGAGAUGGAACAAAGGUCUCAGCAAAUUUCUUGCUUGUUCUUGGAGCUAAUGACCUCUUCUGGUCUCUAUACCUGGAAAUGGCCAAAAAGAGUUCUGUCAGGAUUAAUGCAGUCAUUGUUCAAACAUCUACUGCAUGUACAUGUCUUCGGGGUAAGGAAGAAUGCUGGACACCAUGUGCAAUUCAUUAAGUAACAAGUGGACCAUUAGACAGUUCUUUCUCUGAUGUCCCACUACCACGUUCCUCCCCUUGUUGCUCUACUGGAAAACCCACGGUAUACAUUGUAGGCCUUUUUUCAGGACUCAACAUAGAGGAAGUUAACUGGAAAGAUACAUCUUUUAAAGAUAAAGAAGAUUUUGUCCACAAGGUCUUUAGACAUGUGGACCUCCCAGGCAGCCUCUGCAUAGGAUGGGAAUGCAAGACCCCUCUCACUCAGUAUCUCUGAGCAUUUCAGUCUUUCUGUUUCUUUAUCAGGAGACUGCAGAAUUUACCCACUUCAGAACCCUUGCUGCCAUCAACCCCAACCAGUCCCAUAUAGGACCCCUCACUUCCACUCUGAGAAAUAAAAGUAGGACAGCCUGCAGGUGGAGGUGCCUGACCUGGAGUCCCUGUCUAUCCUUCCUUACCCCUGAGGGCUUCCCUGUGCCAACUGGGGUUUCAUUUCCCAGGGUGGACAUACCUCUGGCACUUCCAGGGCUUCCCAGGCCCUGGAGCUUGAUAUUGAGGAUGGGACUUGGGCUUUUCUGGGCCUGCAGAGCCUGGGCCUCAAGCUGCCCCUUCCUACCCUCAACCUUUGGUUAUCUGUACUCUGGCUGUCUUUACCAGGUUUAGGAGGCCUUGCCUUCUCUUUUGCUCCUUUCAUCUCAGUCAGGCUUUUCUCUUCCAGUUCUCUGAUCUCAGGGCAGUUCAGGCUAGACCACAGAAAAGAGAAAGAUGAAACAAGUGUCAUUGAUUAUGUGUGGAGGCUGCUGGGAAAGGAAUUGACUGUCAUUGGCUUAGGGCUUUAUGCCCACUGCUCACCUGCAGGCAGGUUUUCCCACAGCCUACUGUCUCAUUGGCUCCUUCUGUCACAAAGAACGUAGUGAUGCCCCCUUCACCGUCACACUUCCCUUAGAGCUGUCAUUACAGAGGCUCCCUCUCAGUCUCCCAAGUCCCACUGAAAUCCCAUUUCACUUUCCCUACUAAUGCUGUGCUCAUCCUCAAGGCCUCAAGAGCUCACCAUCCAGAUGAGGCCUGUCCUUUCCUCUCCAAGAGAGCCUCUGAGCAGACCUGGUGUCUAUGGUCAGCUGUCCUGAGGUUUCUUCCAUCCAGUUCCCCCUCCGGCUGGAGCUCUCCAUGCAGUUAAGGGGGUGGAGUGGGGUGGGGAGGAAGGCACAUGUGAGGGUUUUACAGGUGUAGUGGGUGAAAGGAGCCUGAAAGGACGUCUUUCCAGAAGGGCCCACAUUUUGAGGCCAUGCCUGUACCCUCUGUAGCCAGGUCUCCCACAUCUGCAGCAGCACCAGUAGAUGCUGUAGUCUCUCCAGCCCCUGUCUCUGCUCCUCUAGAUGCUCCUGAAGGUGCCCGGCUCUUCUUGCCAGGACUCCAGGAUGCUGACCGAGGCUUAGGUAUUGUGUAGACUGGAAGCAGAGCCGAUGGGGCUGUCUUUGAGAACUUGGCCUCAAGACUGGGGGCAUCUUGCCUACGGAGGCAGGGGAUGUUUUGGUCUGCCGGACCACGGCUACCCCCUUAACUGUACACACUUGGGUGAAGUACACAUACUUGACUCAUGGCUUCUCUGGAGUAGCUUGAUGAGUGAGAUAUCUGUUCAGAGGAAGCUGAGGAAGAAGACCUCUCUGAUUCUUAAGGAGUCUUCCUGGACCUGAAGCUUACGUUUUUUGCUUCCGAUAUUCUAGCUUGAGUGGCACUUUCCUCUUGGGUUGAGACUUCUGAUAAUAAAGAGUUAACUUACAUGAACCCUCUGGGCACUGAGUUCUCAACUGUGACCCAAGACCCUGGUUUCAGGUGUCCCUGGGAGCCUCUCUAUCAUCACUGUCCUCCACCUCUGCAGGACCUGUGGUUUCUUCCUUUUUCCCUGGGGACCUUCCAUCUUUGGGGAACAUCACUGUGGGAGACCAAGUCUCCUCUGGGAAAUCUUUUGUGAUAUUAGCACUUCAUAACAGAAGUCUAUAGUCUUUCAAAGGACUAUAAUACACUGAUAAUUUCUAUUGCAAAGAGAGGGUCUCCACAUUAAUUUUUUUGGCAUUUGUUGAAUGCCAAAUGAAAUUGUUCCUUUGGAACUUGAAAAUGACCUCAUUUGCCUGAUCUUUCAUAAUCACACAUGACUUCUCUGAGAGACAUUUUCUAUGAAAGUGAUUUUCAUAACAGAUUUAGAGUGUAAACAGUGAAACAGGAGAAAUUGUCAUCACUUUUUAAACUUUUUUCAGCCUUCUUUUAAGGGAAGGGUAUUUAUAGGAGGAAGCAUACUUAGAAAAAUUUGUAUUUUAUAUGCAUAUAAAGCUUCUCCUUGUAUCCUUAACCAACCCAGGGUAGAAGGUUAAAAUUGCCCUUUUCUGAACAGAAGGCCCUUACCAUGCUGCUAUGAGAAGCACUCCUUCAGGGUGAUGCAGAAACAGAUGUCCAUUUCUGAGAGUUUUGAUGCCACAAACCUCAGGUGGGCAACAUACAAGAACCUCACCUGAGUGUGUCUGGGUGUGCUGUAAUGUCAGCCUAACGGUCUGUGCACAUUUCUGAAUAUGAAGGAAGGAUUGGUGAGUUAACGAAGAAAUGAAUGGAAGCAGUUUGGGAGGGGAGUGAAAGCUCCAGGGACAGACAGAAGAUGGGAUGGGGGACUUGUCAAGAGGGUGUCAGAAAACCAGGAAGGAGCAGGAAGCACGGCCAGGGGAGGGCAGCAUAGGCUAGGGGGCAGCAGAGAUAAUGGUAGUGGGGAGAGCAACAAAACUGGCCUGUGAUACAGUGGGAAAUUAGUAAUCCUAGAUGAAGCUCAGGUUAAGUCAAGUAGGAAUGUAAAAAAUUCUAUCCUGUAGCUAUCUUUCCUGUGAGGGAUUUAGGUCCUUGGGGAGAGGUGGGGAGGAGACAUAGGAGGAAAAGGCGCAUUCCUGGGUCUAGGGAAGGAGUCUGAAAGACCUUCUUCUGCCCUAACAGGCUGGGGCUGCAUGGUUCACAAUGAUGUGGGCCCUGUGCUUCUUCACACCACCCACUCCUAGAACCUCCUGAAAAUUUUCUUAGUUCUUCACAUAGUAUGUUCAUUCCAUCUCAUUAGAAAAUAUAAUAAUGCAAUACACUUUUCCCUCACCACCCUUUCCUCAGUCCUACAUUCUCUGUCCCAGUUGUACACUGGCUUCCUUCCUUUCCAUCAGGUUUAAAGGCCAGAACAAUUGAGUAUUAUUUCUGCACUUAUUCCAGAAAUUUCUCAGAAUCCUAAGUUUGAUCAUUGAUUUAUUCCUGCAUUUCCCAUUGACAUUACAAACUUUGGUGAAUUAUCUACUAAAUGACAGGAAAUGCUUUCUUAGGUCAAUCCUCCUUAUGACCCUAUCUGUUCACCUCAAAUCCUUCAUCUUCUCCUGUCAUAGCUCUGAUUUCUGUGGAAAUCAGAUCCCCUAGUUCCCUAGCUCCCACCCAUCUGGGAGAUUUUUCCUCUCACCCUUAUUUAGAGUCUUAGAGAAAGGCCUCUUCUUUGUUUAUCACUGAUUCAUCCUGUCUGGGUGAAGACAUCCAAAAAUAAUGGUACUCUGAAGGAUCUCUAUCCCUCCUCCCAGUUACUGAUGAUAUCUGAAUCUUUCAUGACUUGGAGACUCUGAUGUAGUCCUGAAUUUCCUGGAUUUGCUAUCUAAAAACACUCUCCUGCAGGAGACCUCAGAUCGGCACCCUCUCCAAAGAGCAGUUGACAUCUGAGCGAGCACCAAGACUUCCAUAGCCCUUGUGUGACAUCAUUGUUGACACUGCUCGGUUCUAUGGGCCCAGUUUGAAGCAAAGCUGGGCAGCAAGGAAAAUAUGGCAACUGUUGAAGUAGGGGCUUGGGGGCUGGGAGGAGGGAGAUUAUAUAUUAAAAAUAAAUUAAAACUUCUCUCUGCACUCAAAGAGGUUACCAUCCCUUGGGAGGGAGAGAGAGCAUACAGGGAAUGAAAAUAGUGUGAUAGGCAGUUGCUUCCACCAAAUCCUCUCAUUUAACUCAGUUUGAAUCGUCUCUCCAGCCCUGGUCAUACAACAUCCACUCUGCACCCUUUUCAGGUCUCCUUAGCCUCUGAGGCUUCACACAGGCUCUUCACUCUGACUAGGAGAUGUUGUCCCCCUUCCCAUCUCCCGGCCUACUCUCCCUGGUGAAGUAUGUGGUGAAGAGAACUGACCCUGUUGAAACAGGUUAGGCUUAUGGCCUCACCAAAAAGACCUAAGACUCAGGACUUUUAUGCAGCCAGAAUAGGAGGUUUAGGAGUUGACUUGGGAAAGCCCAUGACCUCUGCUUCUUCCAGACUCUAUUUUUGUUUUGGAUGCCAUUUAGAAAAAGAUCCUGGAAAUGGGGAGAUCUAUUACGGAAGAAAUUAGGAAAGUUGGGGAGGUGACGAGAGAGGUGCUGACUUCUCGGUAGAAAAUAGAAAUUACAACACGAAGAUGCUAGGGGCUCAUUUUGUGUGACUCCCAACUGUAUAGGAGGGAGGACUGGUUGGAAAACAGAACAAAAGACGAUCUGUGCCUGUUGACAAAUGCACCAGUGGCUUCACUCUGUCUCCUCAGAAUGUUCUCAUCAAGCCAUCCCUCACCUUGUACUGAAGCCUCUGGAGAAUUCUUGGGGUUUCCUGGAUUCUGGGCCUUUGUCAUCCCUUAACUAUCCAACCAUAUUCCCAACUUGGUUCAGGCAUCACUUCCUAGUUGAGAUCUUCCCUGACCCUUUUCCUGGUAAAUUUGUCCACUUCUUGCUCUGUACACCUUUGUAUUUAAGAUACCCUUUACCACCACAUAAAACACAAUUCCAUUUACUUGCCACAGAUGAUUUUAGGAAGGUCGACACAUUCUCCCUCUCUCUGUGUCCAUGCCUUCUGUGAGACUCUGGAGCGCCUUUCCUCAGCAGCAGGAGUCUUUCUGCACCCUCAGUUGAGGCUGACCUUACGGUUGCUUUGGCCAUUAGGAUAGUAGUGAACCGGAUACAAGGUGAGAGUUGAAAGGACUUUGCAUUCAGACUUGCCCUUUUGUUGCUCUUAAAGCCUGAGAACCCAUGGGAACGGACCCAGGCCAGCCUGCUGGAUGAUGGGAGACCAUUGGAGAGAGGAUCCAGCAGUUUCACUGAGUUGAUUUUAGAUGAAAUGGCUCCUAGCUGACCUGGAAGCGAAUUGUAGACACAUGAGGAAGGCCUGCUGCGAGUCACUGUGCCUGGCCCAGAUAGGAAGAUCCCCAAAUUGACAACCAGAAUAACUCUGAGCUUAGUAAGUGGUUGUUCUUUUAAGUGCUACAUUUUGGGGUCAUUUGUUACACAGCAAUACACAACUGAUACAACGGUUAACUUGGCUCUUUCUCUGAUCAGGCAAUGAGGGACCUUCUCUGAGUUAUCUUAUCAUCAAGAGUACAUGGCAUAGGGUCUGACAUGUAGUCAGUAUACAGUGAAUCUUUGUUGACUUAAUGGAUAAAUGAAUAAUAUGAAUCAUAAGUGUGAAUCUGCAUAAAAUCCUGUGUGAAAAAAAGCAUGAUAUUUCUUUAAAUAAACUGAAUUCCAGCUCAGAGCAGCCUGCUUACCAAAUUGGGGGGUGGGGGGGGGACGGGGUGGUGGAUUUUCACCUUACUUAUUUUUAGAUUUCCUCCUCAUCCAGAUAUGCAAUAAUUCCUGGGGUCUAAUGAAGGACCAAGGUUUGGAGACAGGCUUCAAAACACCCAUUGCCCCAGCCUACGUGGGUGAUUUCUCUAGAAGUAUUGGCUCUGCUCCUUCCAUUCCUAGCUGGAGCAGGAGAACCUUGGCAGGGCUGUGAACACCAUGAUGGGGUUUGUGUACCUAUGUGCCUGCAUUAUCCUUUGAGGUGCUGCCGUCUACCCCAGGGCACUGUCAAGAAGCAGGGCCAACCCCUUUCCUAUUUCUAGGACUCUGCUAUCCGACUCUCACUCCUCCCCUGGGUUUCAAUUCACGCAGUGUGAUUACUCCAGUGAGCUGAGGCUUUUACAACAGGCUCUUCAGGGUCUCAAAGUUUCAGAGGUUCAACCCUGUGAGUCCAACUACCUCCUUGAAAUAAGAUAGAGAAGGAAGAAAAAUAUAGGAAAAUUUUAUUUUGAAUUUAAUGUUUCAAUAAAUUUUCUUGCCAUGUGUUUUGAAAGCGUCCUGCCUAAAAAUUCCCCCUGUUCUCUUACAAUUUGCAAGACAGUGAAAAGGGAAUGUUUGAUUGUGUCAUAAUCUGCAGAAGAUGUAAAGCACACAUGGGGUCCAUUCCUCCCGAUGCUCACACUAGAGCACCCCACCCACUUGGAAAUUUCUGCAAGUAUUUCGGAGUCCCUCACACAUCCACAAUGAACAGCUUUCAAAUUCUCCUAAGCAGGAAUUAUUACUGUCACAGCCUGUGACCCAAUAAGCAAGGUUAUGCAUGGGUCCAGUUGUGCCUUCCCACUAAUCUACAGCGCACCAUUUCACCUGUCAACCACCACAUCAAAGACGUAGUGAAACCCAUGUGAAAUUGCUCGCCGUACAUUGUUGCUGUUGUGUUGUUGUUGUUAGGUGGGUCUAAUCAGUUCCAGCUCAUACUGACCUUAUGGACCACAGAUGGAACACUGCCCAGUCCUGCGCCAUCCUCACAGUUGUCACCAUGUUGGAGACCACUGUUGCAGUCACUGUGUUAAUCCAUCUCAUUGAGGAACUUCCUCUUUUUUGCUGAGCUUCUACUUUAUCAAGCACGAUGUCUUUGUCCAGGGACUGGUUCCUCCUGAUAACAUGUCCAAAGUACGUGAGACAGAGCCUCAUCAUCCUCGCUUCUAAGGAGCACUGUGGUCAUACUUCUUCCAAAACAGAUUUGUUUCUACUUCUGGUAGCCCAUGGUAUAUUCAAUAUUUUUUUGCCAACACCAUAAUUCGAAGGUGUCAAUACUUCUUUGGCCUUCCUUAUUUAUUGUCCCAGCUUUUGCAUGCAUGUAAAAAAAAAAUGCAUAUAAGGUGAUGGAAAAUACCAUGGCUUGGGUCAGGCCCACCUUAGACCUCAGAGUGUCAUAUUUGCUUUUGAACACUUUAAAGAACUCUUUUGCAGCCAAUCUGCCCAAUACAAUAAGACAUUUGAUUUUUUUGACAGCUGCUUUCCUGGGUGUUGAUUGUGGAUCCAAGCAAAACGAAAUCCUCUACAACUGCAGUCUUUUCUCUGUUUAUCAUGAUGCUGCUUAUUGGUUCACUUUUGAUGAUUUUUGUUUUCUCUAUUUUCACCAUACUUAUUCAAUCUGUACGCUGACCAAGUAACCUGAGAAGCCAGACUGUAUAGAAGAAUUUGGCAUCAGGAUUAGAGGAAGACUCAUUAACAACCUGUGAUAUGCAGAUGACAAGACCAUGCUUACUGAAAGUGAAGAGGACUUGAAGCACUUAGUGAUAAAGAUCAAAAACCACAGCCUUCAUUAUAGACUACACCUCAACAUAAAGAGAACAGAAAUGCUCACAACCAGGCCGGUAAGAAAUGUCAUGAUAAAAGGAGAAAAUAUUGAACUUGUCAAGGAUUUCA